AACUAAACGUUGUUACUAAUUGUUAUUGAGCAGACAUACAUACGUAUGGUCUCUUGGCUCUGUUGGACUAUGAAAAAGAUUAGUUUGCACAGAAUGAAACCCAAUGAUUGAGGAAUCAUAGACAAUCCAUUAUUAUUCUAAAUUGAUUCCUAUCUUUAUGUCCCUAUGUAUAUAUGUAUGGAUGUAGUAAUCGGUUGGCUCGACAAGAUUAAACGAGCUGGAUAUAAUUUUUCUUCCGAUCUUAUUUUCUGCAUUUGGGUUGAUGUGAAUUGAUAAGGUGUGAACUAUUUUCGUAACCUCCAUUUCACCAACGUUGGUAUAGUAUUCUAGUGCAUCUUAAGUUUUCCUAUGAUGUUAAACAUAAGAUAGAUGUAAUUUACAUAUAUUUAAAUUUCCUUUGUC
Lucilia sericata (common green bottle fly) is the source of this 402-nucleotide long non-coding RNA. RefSeq lists it as uncharacterized. The record is from RefSeq and is a predicted model, not a curated record. Lineage: Eukaryota; Metazoa; Arthropoda; Insecta; Diptera; Calliphoridae. The transcript is spliced from 4 exons.